AUUUUAUUGAGCAAAUUUCCUACCAAAAUUCAAUCCAAACUUCCUCUCUUCUAGUACAAAAACUAAAACAUAAAUCUCUGCACUUCAUUUCGUACAACCAAGACUAAGAAAGAUUCUCUGCACUUCAUUUCAUCGGAAUAAAAACUCCCUUCACUGUCAGUUCCAACACAGCAAUCUUCACAUCCAAUUCAAACAUUGCUGUCUUUGCCUUCCAAAUAUAACUUUAUCCCUAGCAGCAUUACGCUGUGAUCUACUUGAAAGUAUGAAGAUAUGAAAACAUAGAAAAGAGGAUAUUCUACCAAUAGAGUUAGCCCAUUUAAUAAGGAUGGGAGUUCAUCUUCCUUAUCAAAUUAUGGCUUGAUUUCACUGAGAAAUACUUCACGAUUAUUUAUCCUAAUACACUAGGCCGAUAUAGGAGAGUGCACUCUUAAGAUCGCCCAGAGAGAGGACCUAGUCUCAAUGAGUGAAACUUACCCCACAAAUACCCUUGACUGUGAGUACCGAAAAAAAGAAAGUGGGAGAGGGGAUAUUAUACACUUGAAAAAACUGCACUACAUACAGGCAGCAUGUCCCAUAAAGAUGCUUAACAUUACCCUUUUUCACAAACAGAACACAUCCCAUUCCCAUGCGCCAUUAGGAUUGGGUAACAGCUUAUGAAUCAUGUCAUAACAAGCCAAUACUGUCCACAGCAUAAUCGUAUCAUUUCACUUGCUCAUGAAUUUUACAAUAUACUGCCUAUAAAGCAAACCAACUCUCGUAAAACAAAACUCUCAUUGCUCCGAUCAAAAUACCUAUGACAUAACAAUCAAUGACAAUUAGGAGGAAAAAAUAGUUAAUAGAGGGAGCGAAGCUAGAAAUUAGAAAGAUAAGAACAGGUAUGAUCUGUGCUGCACGCUAACAAAAGUAUAGUUUGGAAAAUUAAUAAUUGACUCAGAAUAAUGAUAAGUAUACAUUACCAUGGUUUCACUUUAAGAAUCACACGAGAAAAAUAUCAAAGUCGAAUGAGAGUAAUGAAACAUCACUCAUGGGCAUUAUUCACGCUCAAGUGCAAGCCAAAGAGGAGGAGGCCCCCUGCAUUCCUUCUGAAGACACAUGGGGGCCAUAUUACUCAUUAACUAAGAGCAAUUAUGUCACCUGUAUGCCACCAGUCGCAAUCAGCUUUUCAUUUUAUUCUCCCUACUUUUUCUCUUCCCUAGCUCAUGACAACUGGUGUCUUAGACUCAUGCUUGAGGAAACAGAACAAAAUGAUCCCGUAGGGGGACCGUCAGAGGAACCAUGAACAAGCACAAACACAACUAAUUUGCACUUGUGAAAUCAGCUGAUUAGUAUUCUUAUAUUUGAUAUGGUUUUCUUAAUAUAUUUAAAAAGAGAUGAAAAACAUACGAGAACAAAAUACCAUGUCAUGGGUAGUUUAAUUGAUGCACAUAGUCUCAGCACCAAAGAUGUGUAGUAAAAAAUUUCAAAGAGGAAAACUUGCUCCAAGUCCUGAUGAAAUUCAAAGCCUAAUUCUAAUAAAUAAAGUACCGAAUGGAUAUAUAUUUUAAAAUGGUAUAAAUUUCCAUUUGAAAUACUGAUUUAUUUCUCCUAAAAUCAAAUUGUUUAUCUUAGAAGUAACAGUUUUUAUACAUUAUUCAGAAAGGAUAUCACCACUAAUUCUAUAAUGGUUAGCAUAACACACACCUUCAGCUGGUUGUUUCAAUAAUGCAUUAACACUACGUUUGGUAGACA
Molecule: unclassified non-coding RNA, 1728 nt
Filed under: Hevea brasiliensis (rubber tree)
Lineage: Eukaryota; Viridiplantae; Streptophyta; Magnoliopsida; Malpighiales; Euphorbiaceae
Source: RNAcentral